AUUGAACGCUGGCGGCAGGCCUAACACAUGCAAGUCGAGCGGACGAAUGAGGCUCUUUCCUGUAUUCCGCUACCGACGGGCGGGUAAUUCCUAGGAAUCUGCCUGGUCUUUGGGGCUAACGUCCCGACACGGGCCCUAAUAUCGCACACGUCCUGAUGUAGAAAGUGAUGGAUCUUUGGUCCACACGCUUUUUGAUGUGCCUAGGCCGUAUUAGCUAGUUGGUUUGGUAAAGGCUUACCAAGGCGACGAUCCGUAGCUGGUCUGAGAGGAUGAUCAGUCACACUGGAACUGAGACACGGUCCAGACUCCUACGGGAGGCAGCAGUAGGGAAUAUUGGGCAAUGGGCGAAAGCCUGAUGGAGCAAUGCCGCGUGUGUGAAGAAGGUCUUCGGAUUGUAAAACACUUUUAGUAGGGAGGAAGAACAGUGAAUUAAAACCUUGCUGUUUUGACGGUACCAACAGAGUAAGCCACGGCUAACUUCGUG
RNAcentral lists this ribosomal RNA (484 nucleotides) under uncultured bacterium. RNAcentral's name for it is "partial 16S ribosomal RNA". It matches the Rfam family "Bacterial small subunit ribosomal RNA", at positions 30 to 507 of the family's 1533-position model. The record is from RNAcentral.